GAGAGAGAGAGAGAGAGACAAAGUUGAUGGCCAGGAGACAACGUUGUAUUGCGAGGAAAGCGAGGAAGAUAUGGUAGUGAAGAGAGCUCCAUUAUCCACAGACAUGAAUUAACAAAUGCUCUCUCCCGUCUAUUUCUGGAUUGCCAUUCUUUCCUUCUUAUUACACUGAUUUUUAAUUUGGGGUUGGGAUUAGUUAAUUUCUUGUUAACAAUUAUCAUAAAAUUGCCAUUCUUUCCUUCUUAUUACACUGAUUUUUAAUUUGGGGUUGGGAUUAGUUAAUUUCUUGUUAACAAUUAUCAUAAAAUUGCCAUUGCCUUCUAAAUUAUUAUAAUAAUUAUCUUGUGUUUUUAGUCAAAAACUGGUUUACGUGAAUAUG
Molecule: unclassified non-coding RNA, 376 nt
Filed under: Hevea brasiliensis (rubber tree)
Lineage: Eukaryota; Viridiplantae; Streptophyta; Magnoliopsida; Malpighiales; Euphorbiaceae
Source: RNAcentral